RNAcentral lists this unclassified non-coding RNA (233 nucleotides) under Hevea brasiliensis (rubber tree). The record is from RNAcentral. Lineage: Eukaryota; Viridiplantae; Streptophyta; Magnoliopsida; Malpighiales; Euphorbiaceae.
GACAAACUUGAGGAAGCAAUAACAAGGAGUGAUAACAUUCAUGGAACUCUUUCAUAUUGCAUCAAUGUUUCACAUGCUUUUGUUAAUCGUAGAGAAUAUCGUCGUGAGGUGCUUCGACUUCUUGUUAAUGUUUAUCAGAAGCUGCCUUCUCCUGAUUAUUUGAGCAUUUGUCAAUGUCUCAUGUUCCUGGAUGAACCUGAAGGUGUAGCAAGCAUACUGGAAAAGCUUUUGCG